Molecule: ribosomal RNA, 301 nt
Filed under: uncultured bacterium
Lineage: Bacteria
Description: partial 16S ribosomal RNA
Rfam family: Bacterial small subunit ribosomal RNA
Source: RNAcentral
CAGUAGCCGCGGUAAUACGUAGGUGGCAAGCGUUGUCCGGAAUUAUUGGGCGUAAAGCGCGCGCAGGUGGUUUAAUAAGUCUGAUGUGAAAGCCCACGGCUCAACCGUGGAGGGUCAUUGGAAACUGUUAAACUUGAGUGCAGGAGAGAAAAGUGGAAUUCCUAGUGUAGCGGUGAAGUGCGUAGAGAUUAGGAGGAACACCAGUGGCGAAGGCGGCUUUUUGGCCUGUAACUGACACUGAGGCGCGAAAGCGUGGGGAGCAAACAGGAUUAGAUACCCGCGUAGUCCCUGUCUCUUAUAC